Long non-coding RNA from Oncorhynchus keta (chum salmon), 2151 nucleotides. RefSeq lists it as uncharacterized. The transcript is spliced from 3 exons. The record is from RefSeq and is a predicted model, not a curated record. Lineage: Eukaryota; Metazoa; Chordata; Actinopteri; Salmoniformes; Salmonidae.
CAGCCUUAGGGGUUGGUUGUUAUCUUUGGUUAUCUAGCUGUAUGAGUGAUGUACAUUCUUCAUAAAGCUAGAUAACCGAAAGUAACAAGAAUCCCAUUACGCUCCUGAAAGGCAUCAAGCUCCCCAACACAUGUCCCCCAUAAUGCACCACCCCAUUCUACCAUCCACAGCAAAACAAGCAAAAAAAAUGGCCGUCAUCAUAGGACAAUGGGAUCAGAAGAAAAAGUCAAACUACCAACACCACCGUGACAGAAUGCUGGCAAAAUGAGGCUGGAAAAACAGGGAGAGGAUGAGAGGUUGCUGUUGACUCUGACUCCCUCUUCUCGCCCUCCUCCGUAUCGCCUCUCCCCUUCUCCCCUCCCUCGCUUCAUCCUCAGCUGCCUUCCCCAUUCUCCUGUACCGUGAGACGUAGCCCACGCCACCAUCUUAGGACGACGCUCGCUGGCAUGAAAUGGAAGUGAGGACCAGAGAGAGCAGGCAAAUAAUGGUCCAGAACACUGAUAGAAGGCAGAAAGAACUACGAGCAGUAAUCCAUUGGGAGAAGAAAAGUUGCCCACAAACUACCAACCCAUCCCUAGUAUUUGCAAUGGAACAGGCCCAUUACAACAAUGUUUGUCCACUAUACUCCGACUUGUGCCCCAACAUUUGAGCAUCAGAGCACUUUAGCUGCCUCUGACGUGUGGUUAGACCUCCGGCCUGGGUUUAGUUAUCCAGCAAGGGCCAAUCUGGAUUGGUUUUGUUUCCUUUCUUAAGCCAAUAAGAAAGCGGGUUGGUGGCGUGGAAAACAAGAGCAAACAUCUCAGGAUCCAAGAUGAACAGAGAAGCAGUGAUUCUUGGAUACACUGGGCUAUGAAUGAGAUACAUUACAUGUGCUGUGUACCUACAGUAUUUGCUUGCAGCCUCAAUAACAUCUACAAAAGAUUUGACAGAUUGACCAGGUGAAUCCAGGUGAAAGCUAUGAUCCCUUAUUGAUGUCACUUGUUAAAUCCACUUCAAUCAGUGUAGAUGAAGGGGAGGAGACAGGUUACAGAAGGAUUUUUAAGCCUUGAGGAAAUUGAGACAUGGAUUGUGUGUGUGCCAUUCAGAGGGUGAAUGGGCAAGACAAAAGAUUUAAGUGCCUUUGAACAGGGUAGGGUAGUAGGUGCCAGGCACACCGGUUUUUGUCAAGAACUGCAACACUGCUGGGUUUUUCACGCUCAACAGUUCCCCGUGUGUAUCAAGAAUGGUCCACCAGCCAAAGGACAUCCAGCCAACUUGACACAACUGUGGGAAGUAUUGGAGUCAACAUGGGCCAGCAUCCCUGUUGAACGCUUUUUGACACCUUGUAGAGUCCCAUGCCCAGACGAAUUGAGGCUGCAACUCAAUAGUAGGAAGGUGUCCUUAAAUGUUUUGUACACUCAGUGUAUGUUACAUGUGAGGAAAUGUUCCUUGCAAUACAGAUUCUUAAGUGCAAACAUUUAUAUAAUAGCAUAGAGUGCUUUACUACUACUACUACUACUACUACUACUACUACUUUAAUUUAAAGUAAAUAACAAUGUAUGAAUAGAGUCCAUGGUGUUGCAUGGGAAUGUUGUAUAACGAGCUGUAUAAAUAACAUAGACCUACCUAGAUCAUUACGGUUAGAAUUUUAGCCCAUUUUCAUGUUUGUUUUAUUAUUUACUAGUUGCUAUGACUGACAGAUACAUGAAUGUGAGACCCACGGCAGCAGUGAAGAAUACUGCACUGCGAUUAGAUGGCUCCGUGUGUCACAUGACACACAGGCGAAUGGGAGAGCUGUUGUCUUUAUACUCUAUGCAACUGUUUUUGGUACCAAAUAUAUUGGGCAAGCCGUCAACUGGAUUAUUUUUGGCCGAACAAUCUCAUGAAAUAUUAUGCUGUUUAUUCAGUUCUCUCUCACAGUGUAGUUUUUUUUUUACACUCAAUCUGCCAAUUUAGGCUGUGUGUGUGUGUGUGUGUGUGUGUGUGUGUGUGUGUGUGUGUGUGUGUGUGUGUGUGUGUGUGUGUGUGUGUGUGUGUGUGUGUGUGUGUGUGAGAGAGAGAAAGUGUGUGAGAGAGAGAGAGAGAGAGAGAGAGAGAGAGAGAGAGAGAGAGAGAGAGAGAGAGAGAGAGAGAGAGAGAGAGAGAGAGAGAGAGAGAGAGAAGAGAGAGAAA